This 410-nucleotide ribosomal RNA is filed under the name marine bacterium SIMO-2518. Its description in RNAcentral is "bacterial SSU rRNA". It matches the Rfam family "Bacterial small subunit ribosomal RNA", at positions 120 to 564 of the family's 1533-position model. The record is from RNAcentral.
GGGAACCUGCCUUUAGGUUCGGAAUAACUCAGAGAAAUUUGAGCUAAUACCGGAUAAUGUCUUCGGACCAAAGAUUUAUCGCCUUUAGAUGGGCCCGCGUUAGAUUAGAUAGUUGGUGGGGUAAUGGCCUACCAAGUCGACGAUCUAUAGCUGGUCUGAGAGGAUGAUCAGCCACACUGGGACUGAGACACGGCCCAGACUCCUACGGGAGGCAGCAGUGGGGAAUAUUGGACAAUGGGCGAAAGCCUGAUCCAGCAAUGCCGCGUGAGUGAUGAAGGCCUUAGGGUUGUAAAGCUCUUUUACCAGGGAUGAUAAUGACAGUACCUGGAGAAUAAGCUCCGGCUAACUCCGUGCCAGCAGCCGCGGUAAUACGGAGGGAGCUAGCGUUGUUCGGAAUUACUGGGCGUAAA